RNAcentral lists this non-coding RNA (23 nucleotides) under Cricetulus griseus (Chinese hamster). The record is from RNAcentral. Lineage: Eukaryota; Metazoa; Chordata; Mammalia; Rodentia; Cricetidae.
CAUAACUUUAUAGGCUGAACUCU